GGGCUGGCUUUAGCCGAGCGGUUCCUUCGAGUCUGGCUUCCCAACCACCCGGAUCCGGUGAUUCGAGACCCGUGGGCGCUCUCCAGUCCUUUU
This is an unclassified non-coding RNA of Cavia aperea (Brazilian guinea pig), 93 nucleotides long. Its record names the gene Vault. It matches the Rfam family "Vault RNA". Rfam says of the family: This family of RNAs are found as part of the enigmatic vault ribonucleoprotein complex. The complex consists of a major vault protein (MVP), two minor vault proteins (VPARP and TEP1), and several small untranslated RNA molecules. NCBI's taxonomy places the organism in Eukaryota, Metazoa, Chordata, Mammalia, Rodentia, Caviidae. The record is from Ensembl.